This is a long non-coding RNA of Mus musculus (house mouse), 3650 nucleotides long. RefSeq annotates it as predicted gene, 33392. The record is from RefSeq and is a predicted model, not a curated record. The transcript is spliced from 5 exons. Lineage: Eukaryota; Metazoa; Chordata; Mammalia; Rodentia; Muridae.
CAAAGAGAUCUUCCUGCCUCUGCUUUCCCAAAGACACAUUAGGGAAGUGUGGGACGAGACAGAACAGUCUUCAAUUUCCAUAUGACUCCGUGGUCAGUGUGACUCCCAAGGACAAUCAAAGCAGAACAACAACAGCUUAACCAGAAAUGAACGUCACAGGAAGACCGUGCAGCUGUGACGUCAAAGUCCCAGGGAUCACUAGAAGGACAUUUGAGAGAGUGUUCCGACUAUCUUUGGCCCUUGGACGAUGCGAACCUAUAUUCUCUGCAGAAGAUGAUACAAUCUGAUUUAGAAAAUAAGAUCAUUACUAGUAUCAUUCUGUAAAACAAGUUAAUCUCAUAUUUUUUAUAAGACUGGAGAGCUUAUCAUCAUCAAGGAACUCUGAAUUUGCAUCCCUAAUGCAUCCUUCUCAAAGAUUCUCAGGGAAGUAGCUGAGUCACCACUGAAGAGCAGCAUUUGAUAGUGCUUUUAAUGAAGCAGGCAUGGCAUGAGAUGGGGACAGACAGAUACUAGGAGUAAGAGGGACAGAACUCCUGGACAGGAGACUGGAAGCUUCCAGAGUCAAAAGUGCCCCCCUCCCACCACCAUUCUACAUGGAGCUGCCUACAGAAAGGUAAAACGGAGCUAGGAUUCAUCGCUACUGUUUGCAGAAACUGGAGCCUUUUCCAAGACAGAAAAUUGGUAUAAAUAUAUUUUCUCUCCAGUAUUUUUAGUCCUUGUCUAUUUUUAUUUUGAGCUCAAAACAUGUAGAUAGGCGUAAGAUACGCAGAAAACAGAUUUUAACAAUCAGUGUUCGGUAAGAUUUUCACUGGGAACACUUGGAAGCAGUUUUCUGUGGCAUUUUCUCCUUGUAGGGGACUUCUGCAGAGCAUUAAUUUUGGUUCCUGGAGGCAAGUGCAAGGUGCUAUAUGAGAGUCUCUUAACAAAACACUAGUUUUCUCAUGGCUUGCAGAAUAAAGUUAAAAAACAGAAAUACUCUUAGUGGGAGAGGGGGUCUGCAUGGGCGUGAAAACUUUCGAUAAAAUUCACUAUUGUCCCGGGGUUUCUAAGCUGAUAUUGGCAGCCACUGAAUACACUCUUUCUUUUAAAGGGAAGGAAUGAAAGAGAGAAGGAAGGAAGGAAGGAAGGAAGCAGGCAACUAAACCUUGGUCAUCCUGGCUCACACGCGAACGUGAAACAAGAUGGCUUCACAGAGCAAAUGGCCCUUGUCAACCAACUGCUCUCUGCUUACUGAGUUGGCUCUCUGUACACCCACUCCUGUGUCUUUGCAUAUGAAAAAAAAUGAGGCAGUAAAAGUGUCAGCCUGCUUUUGUCAGGAAUAGCCAGUAAAAAAUAAUUGGAGGCGACUUCAUACACCCCAUGCAGAACAGUCGUGAGAUAAUUGAUCCUUAAUACGUUGCUCCCGAGUCUCCACAUGCCAGGAAGAAUUCUGACGUGUGGAGAAGUUACGAUAUGGCUUAUUCAAUAGAGAAGCUAAACAGAACUCAAGCUUCUUCCCGGCAACCUGCGAUGGCAUCCCACACUCUCUCCAGAGCAUGCGGCAUCCUGUGCAGCAGCUGCCGUCGUGAGCCAGAGGGGGUUUUCUUUUCAGUCUUCUUUCAUACAAUUUCCCUUCCUCCCUCCAAGGAACUGGCACCAUCAUGCCAGACACGCAACCAGAACUGCCGCCGUGUGUGGCUCUAGACACCGGUGAAGAAAGUAUACUCAAUUCCACCGCUCCCUAGAGUUUAUUAUCCCACUUAGAAAGGGCUGUGAUUGACAUGGGGCAGCAGGUAUUUUUAAGUUUUGACGGUUAUUUUCUAGUAAUUGCCAGCCUUAAAAUUGUAGUUUGUCAAUCAGACAGUUCUCUUAAACCCAUGACUGCAUUCUUUUCCAGAGGUAGGGCAAUUAAGGAGAAGUCAGUAAACGGCGAUCCCUCACAGGCCUUUUUUCUUGUCAUAUAAUUGUUGUUAAAAGAUUCACUGCCACGACUGGGGAGGAGGCCAUGGCAUGGCAUUUUGCAUUCAGUAAAAAUGUCUGAAACCUUUUUUUUUUUUUCAAACGGUUUGAGGUUUGGCACAGCCCUGAAGUCCAUCUUGCCAGGCACUCUCCCCCUUAAUUUUUAAACCCAUGUGUCUUUCAAGGGGAAUUUAAUCCGUAUGUUUCUAAUUCAUUUACACUUAACUCAUCAAAAUGGUGCUUUAUAAGAACUAUUUGAUGUGCAGGGAGUCGUAUGGCGCUCUCUCUCCUCUCUCUCUCUCUCUCUCUCUCUCUCUCUCUCUCUCUUUCUCUCUCUCUCUUUCUCUCUCUCUCUGAACUGAAAGGCCUUUCUUUCUACGAACCAGAAGAUGGUAUCAUCCCAGGUGUAAGCCAAAUGACUGGGGUGGUACUCAGGAUCAAUACUGAAUUUAGAGGCAAGAAACUAGCCGACACAAUGACAUGAAUAAGCCUCACAUGCCUGCCUGCCUGCCUGCCUGCCUGCCUGCCCUACCCUCUAGAAAGGUCACUUUGACUCGUUCUUCCCUGAACAGGCCUCAUUCACACGCUAAGAACAAAACGUGAUACUGAAGCAUAGUCAGUGGCAUGAUCCUUUUGGAUUCUAGGGACAAUUGGGGGCAAUUGGGAUUCCUACCUCCAAAUCAGUGGAAAUCAGGCCUGCUACAUCUUGUUCAGUGAAAGCCUCACUGGGGAAGUAAACUAACCGCCAAAUGGCAGAACCGGGAAGGACUGAACAGAAGUUCUGGUCAGGCAUUGUUUGUGUGGAUUGCGUUCCAGGGAACUGAGUGGUAAUAGUAGAGAACCUAUGGACCUGCAGGACCUGUGGACCAAAUGGGGCACUGUUUCCCAGGCUGUAAUCUCACAAAGGUAGACAUAAAGAUCUUUGAGGCUAAACUUAGUUUGAAGACAAACGCCAUCAUUUUGUUCGAGGCUUACAGAUCCAGGCAAGGAAUAUUGGCACUAGGGCAUAGGUAGGGAUUCAGCCCAGGAUGCCUGACCUCACUAAGCAUCACCAGCGAUGGCUCUACUGCAUCAGUGCUUUUCCAAGCCCGAGUGCAAUGCCACAGUGAGCAAAUGGUGUGAAAUUGAUAAAACCAGUACAACCUGGUGUCAGCCAUUGGAGAUAGAAGGAGAUACCCAUGGCAACUUAUGUCCAGUCAGAGUACUAUUCCAUAAAGAGCAGGCAGAGCAUAUGUAUGUAUGUAUGUAUGUAUGUAUGUAUGUAUGAUGUAUCUAUAUAUGUAUGAUAUAUGUAGUACUUUGUAUGUAUGUAUGUGUGAACACAGUCAUCUCAUUAAGGAAUUGUGAGGCAGUCACAGAAUUGGUCGUGGGAGCCACCGAAACGCACAGCUGCUCAAGCCCCUUGAUGAAAUACUCGGGUAGUUACACAUAACCACUCACAUGUGCCCAGUUUGCUCUAAAUCAUCUCUAGCUGACUCACGCUGCCUAAUUUGGUCUAAAUGGUGUGUAAAUAGUCAUGGUGCUGUGUUGUUUAGGGAACAGAAGACAAUGUCUGUACAUGUUCAGUACACACUAAUUUUCCCAAAAUGUUUUCAGGCUGGAGCCGUGGCUAUAACAGCCACUGGUGCCGAGUGCCAACUGUAUACUUGUGCAUCAACACACACACACACACACACACACACACACACACACACACACACACACACACAGAG